GGGCGGAGCCAGCGGGGUUAUGGCGGCCUUCCGAACCGAGCGGAGGGCCCGGAUGUAGAAGCAGCAGGCUGUUUGUGUAGCAGCUUGCGAUUUCGGUUCUCUUUCUUCAAAGCUGUUAAAAGAGGACGCCAGCCAGGAGUAGAGUCGCAGAGAUGGAUGCCGCCAACCAAGAGAAAAACACCGGAAGGCUGAGGAUGCUAUGGAGGAUGCUAAAGUGAGAGACAGAACAGGGGCACCUCAGGGUCUGGGCGGUUCUUACUAAAUGCCAUUCUUGCUAAAUGUUAAAACGGAGCGCAGUUAUUUUGUAGACGCAACUGGAACCGGAUGAGCCUGACCGGAACCCAACGGGACACCCCAAGCGGCCGACCCCUUGAGUACGGUAACAAAAGCUCCGCGGAAGCUGCACUUGAGUCACCAAAGAUGUGUCCGGAGGGACGGGUGAAAGGCUGUGAGAGCGCAGUGGUGGCCUGUGUGUGGAGACCGCGGCCGGGGACUGGCAGCAGGAGGUUCCUCGGUCGUUUCCGAUUGUGUUUCUGGGCUGGAAUCAGCAAUGUUUGGGUGUCCUCAGAAAUGAGGUUUCCUUCAGAGUGAAAUACGCACAUGGACUUUCCUCGCUGAAUUGUGAAAUGAAAGAAAGGGUUUUAAAAGCCCUCAGACAUCAAAGGGAAAGGGUGAGGACUAAGAGCAUAUAGAGGACCAAAGCCUGGGCAAGGUGAGCAAAGGCUUGGAUUGUGAGCAAAAUACGCCGGGCUAGGGAGCGGUGAGAGGCCAUCAGUGGCCGGAACAGUGACACGUUCAAGGGUAAUCACACGUCCUAAUUCCGCAAUUCUUCACCAGGGGAGAUGCAGCUUAGUUUCACGUUUGUUUUCAACAAAAACUCAAUAAGGCCAACAUACUCUAUCCAGAGUCUUCUUAAUAUUUGAAGUAAUAAAUUUUAAUAACUCGACUUUUGAGUUUGUGAUCCUUUCGAGGCACUGUUCUAAUCGCUUUACAUGCAUUACCUCAUUACCUUGUAACAAAAAUUCUAUGAGCUGUGUAUUACUAUUUUCAUCUUAGGAGAAGCUGGUGCGCAAAGAGAUUAGGUAACUUGCCCAAGAUCACACAUUGUAGUAACUGGUGAAGCUGAAAAACAGUCUGAAACCAGAGCCUGUGCCUCCAACCACUGUAUUUACAUGGCUCCCUCAGCAGUGCUGAGCACGUUGCCAAAAAGUAUGAGGUCCUUGAAUGACGUCAUUUUGUUCAGUGAUGUUUCCUUAUAGCGUUGAUGAGAUGGUGUGGGAACUUAAUCCUUGUUUAUAUCAAUUAGCCUGCGGUAAACUUGGUUUCAUUAUACAAUGUUUCGCUUAAAGUUGCAGAGCCCUUUGAUGACAUUAAGCAAGAACUUCCUGUACUGGAAUAAAAAGAGUGACUUGGUUCUGA
This is a long non-coding RNA of Hipposideros armiger (great roundleaf bat), 1419 nucleotides long. RefSeq lists it as uncharacterized. The transcript is spliced from 2 exons. The record is from RefSeq and is a predicted model, not a curated record. Lineage: Eukaryota; Metazoa; Chordata; Mammalia; Chiroptera; Hipposideridae.